GACGGGGCCGCACAAGCGGUGGAGCAUGUGGUUAAUUCGAAGCAACGCGAAGAACCUUACCAGGUCUUGACAUCCCCUGACAACCCAAGAGAUUGGGCGUUCCCCUUCGGGGGACAGGGUGACAGGUGGUGCAUGGUUGUCGUCAGCUCGUGUCGUGAGAUGUUGGGUUAAGUCCCGCAACGAGCGCAACCCUCGCCUCUAGUUGCCAGCAUUCGGUUGGGCACUCUAGAGGGGACUGCCGGCGACAAGUCGGAGGAAGGUGGGGAUGACGUCAAAUCAUCAUGCCCCUUAUGACCUGGGCUACACACGUGCUACAAUGGGCGGUACAAAGGGCUGCGAACCCGCGAGGGGGAGCGAAUCCCAAAAAGCCGCUCUCAGUUCGGAUUGCAGGCUGCAACUCGCCUGCAUGAAGCCGGAAUCGCUAGUAAUCGCGGAUCAGCAUGCCGCGGUGAAUGCGUUCCCGGGCCUU
Molecule: ribosomal RNA, 469 nt
Filed under: uncultured Geobacillus sp.
Lineage: Bacteria; Bacillati; Bacillota; Bacilli; Caryophanales; Anoxybacillaceae
Description: bacterial SSU rRNA
Rfam family: Bacterial small subunit ribosomal RNA
Source: RNAcentral